Callorhinus ursinus (northern fur seal) is the source of this 5991-nucleotide long non-coding RNA. RefSeq lists it as uncharacterized. The record is from RefSeq and is a predicted model, not a curated record. Lineage: Eukaryota; Metazoa; Chordata; Mammalia; Carnivora; Otariidae.
CCUCCCUCCCUCCCUCCCUCCUUUCUUUGUUUCUUCUUUCCGUCCGUCCGUCCAUCCGUCUCUUUUUUAUGGAGGAGAGAGUGCUGUGUUUUUUAUUUCAUACAAGAUAAAGAAAUAGAAAUUCUUUCUUCCCUAACUUGCCCACUUCCCCACCUGAAGAAAGUUUCUGAUAUAUAUGCCUUACUGAGUACCUACUCUCUUAAAUAUGACUUGGAAUAAUUUUUGAGGUUUACUGACAAACAUAAAAAUCCCUUUGACUUUAAUGUGGUUGUUUUAUAGAUCACACCUUUUCAUGAAUGUGGAUAUCUUAUCUUUUUGACUUUGUCUCCAUUUAGUUUGGUGGUGGUGAAAUUUACUUGCUGAUUUUCUUUUAUUUUCCACUGAAUGAGGUUUGUGCUUGAAUGAAGAGUGUAUCUUAAACCCUUUUUUGUUUGGAUGGAUUACACUUGGAUAAAAUAGGCACCACUGUGUUGAUAUGUAAUUAAAUUCUUAACCAUUAUUUAUCUAUGAAUGUGACCGUCGUUAAAUUUAAUUAUAGUGUAUUCCUUUUUGAAUUUCAGUCUCCUGCUUUGUAAAAAUAACUGUGUAAUAUUUCAGUUUUUUUAAAUUUGUAAAUCCUAAUCAUUGUUAUCCAGGUUAUUAGAAAUGAGGAGUCAAGGAGCUAACUCAUGGUUCUGUACUCAUUUUUAAAAACGGUUCAUAAAGAUUGAGGUAUAUUCGGUGACAUUUUCUGAGACUGAACAUGGUGAGAAAUCGAUGCUGGAAAAUGCAGAUAGUGAUUCUAUGUUUGUUAAUAAGUUGCCAUCAUGGAGGUCAGAGAAUGAACAAAUUAAGUAACGGUAACUCAUUUUGUAGACCUUGUUCUUUGUCAUCUGUAAAAUUGAGCUGGAUCAAGUGGUAAUUUGGGCUGGGAACAAAGCUUUGUUUGUUCUAAGGUUUCUGAGCUAAUCAUUUUACCUUUUUGUUGAUCUUGUACACAAGAAUGAGAUUAAUCUGUAUUAUAUAAGAAAAGAACUGAGAAAUGUUUAUAAAAUGACAAAUUUGGACCACAGGUUUUCUUCAGCUUAUACAUAGUAUAGUUAAAAAAAAAAACAAAACCCUUCUGGCAUAGGGUCAUGUUCUGUACUUUUGGGACUAUUUUACAUCAGAGUGUCUUUCUGUUCUUUUUCUGUUGCAUCAAGUUUAUUUGAAAUUGUUUUGUGCCUAUACUUCAUGACCUAUUUCCCUACAGGGGUAAAGAAUUAUGCCAUAGUUUUAUUGACACCCUUAGAUGAAAGGUGGCUGUCAACAAGGUGAAAGUGAAACUGAGUGAUGAACUGUUUCAGAAUACUGUGGACUUGUAAAUCUUCAGUGGACUGCUUUUUUUUGGUUUAGUCUGCCAUCUUGAAAUGCAUCUUGAAAGCCCCCAUUUGUUGUGUAGUGAUAUAGCAGCUGAAGCAGGACUUACUUGCAAAUAGGUCCAUGCAUUUGUGUCAUGCCAAUUACCAUAACAUUUCCAAAGUAUAAAAGAUAUUUCAGGCUUAUGCAUGAUAUUUUGGGGUGAGUCUACCACCCCAGCCUUUCUCCCAGCAUACACUGAGCUGCCUUUAGGGGAGCAAUGGCAUGGUUGGUCAUACAUGCAUGUUUUCUGUACAUGUCAGGAUGGAGUGCCUUAGCCAGGCCAGAUGUUUGCUUUGUGUUUCUGCUGACCAAAGUUACCUAGACCUGUGAGAAGUUUCUUGUCAGGUUAUGGUAUGAAAAAUGUCCUUUCAUGCUUGUCAGAAAUUAAUUCCUCUAUAUUUGAGGGGGGCAUGGGAUGGAAAAAUCCUUAAAAUACCUGGAUAGAGUAUCUGCCUUUUCUGAUCCUUUACUAACAUUCAUGAUCUUUAGUGCAUUACAUAGUUUAAGAUUGUCACAGUUGACACUGCCAUUCCUCCAUUUAUACAUAAUAGAUGUAGUUCAUGAGUUUUAGUCUCAAGGGUAAUAGAGUGAAUAACUUCCAAAUGAAAAACUAAAUGGUCCUUGGCCUUUUAAUAAUAUCAUGCUUAAAAUAUUUUAAAUUCUAAUUUAAAAAAAUCUCCAUGCUGAUUAUGGUCUAGAAUGUUCUACUACUACUACCAACAUUUCAUUUAUUUUAAUAUAGAGGUAUGGGGAAGAGUAUAUGUCUAGAGUUGCCCAAAUUCUAAAUAGGUACCAGGAGCAUUAAUCGUGACCUGAAGUCUGGGCUUUGGGGGAAUAUGGAAAAGAAAAAGCAGGCAUAAGGUCCGCCGAAGGAGAGGAAGGGGUCACCUUAAUGCACGGUGCCUGUUGUGUCCAAUGGUCCUAGUGCAGUGCAGAGUUUAAAAUUGUCACAAUUUAAAUCGCUGUUCCUCCACUAACUUCAAAUUCAAAUGUGAAUUUGAAAAGUUCCCAAGUGUUCAGUUUUCAAAGAAUUUAUUUUGUAGUCAGUCAAAAAACAUUUGGAAUGUAACUUGCUUUCCAAAGUAGACUUUGAUUCUAUAGCCUGUGGAAAAUAAAAAGAUAAACUGGAGGUGUUUGAAUCAAAGGGCCCUUUUCCCCUUUGUAUUUUAACUAGAAGCCUGUGUGUAACUCUUCCUUUUCACUGUUCACCCAGCCUCCCUUUUGACUUGCUACACCUAGGACAGAGGCGCCCACUUGCUUUGUAGCGCCUAGGUCUUGCCACAUUCCGAUCUCCUGGAUUGCCUUAGAUUUCUUGACAUGUCAAGGACUGGGGCCGUGCCAGAGGGAACAGAGUAAACCCGAUGGGCUAGAACUUUUGACUUUGGGUCCCCAAAAAGCCAAAAACAAAUACAGAAAUCUUUGGUUGUUGUGUUGAUUCCUGUUUUCAGAGUGGCCUUUAUCUUGACCUCGGUUCUGGACUUGAUUGAGUACUCUAGGAGAUUUCUGGUCAUAUUAGGAUUUUCUUUGUCCUGUGAGGUGUCUUUGAAAGAGCAUGCCCUUUCUUGAACACACUGUGGGUGAAUAACCUUCCUAAGUUAGCUGCCAGUACUAGAACCUUCCAGAAGGAAUUUUAAUUAGUAGGCUGCAUUUGAAGCACUUUGACAUGUACAUUUUAAGUGACAGUUUUAACAGUAAAACGGUGUUAAACUAAUCACUGUGAAACUUGAAGGUGUGAUGCUCUGUACAUUUUAGGAAGCUUAAGUAAAGUUCUGAUUUUUCCUUUGUUAAUUAUGUAACCCAGGUGAUUUGCAUAUUUACUUUUCAUCUUUGACAAUGGCACAGAUGACUGACAUUUUGGCAGGCAGUUACAUUAGGGUAUAUGGUAAAUCAUGGUUGUGUAGCUUUUCUGGAGAAAGUGGUGACAUGUUAACUUCUUCCUUGUGUGGAACCAUGGGAAUGGGAUUUAUUGGCUCAUUCACUGCAGUGUUUUUACAGUGCAAAAUAAACAUCCACAUGCUAGUAAUAUGCUUUGCUCUUUAAUAAACAAAUGUGCAAGAGAUAGUAAUCUAGCUGAUUUUUGGGGGGGGGUUGUUUUUAAGCAGGGACCCACUCUUUAGUCAGAUCUUAAAUGAGCUAAUAUUUAGGGAAGCAAAAGAUGUUCUGCCAUCUGUAGCCCUCUCAACAGGUGGCCUGCAUGAGGAAGUUGUGUUAUAUUUGGUCAGAAAGGCCAGGGUCCCAGAAUUGGAAAAUGGUACAUGGACUGAUUUUAGAGUAUUUUAACAAGGGCUUAUCUCUAUAGGAAGGUCGUUUGGACAGAACAGAAGGAUUGUCUGGUCUUCUGCAGACCCAUUCACAUUGUUUUACUCUUCACAGAAUCAUUUGUAGAAAGGUAGGCUAAAUCAGAGUGGUGCUGUUUUUAAAACUUGUGAAUUGGAUCAUGGCCAUAUGGUACCUAAUGCUACAUGAAACUUAGAGACAGUAUUCAAGAUACCAGGAGUGGGGAAGCCUGGCUGGCUUAGUCCGUAGAGUGUGUGACUCUUGUUCUCAAGGUUGUGUGUUCGAGCCCCAUGUUCAGUGUCAAGAUUACUUAAAAAAAUAAAAUCUUAAAAAAAGAAAAAAAAAGAACCCCCCCCCCCCGAAAAACCAGAAAUGGCUAAAUGCUGGGGAUGCCUUAUGGUUCUUUGGCUAAAGUCUUCUCUUGAGCAGUUUCUAUGGGUAAUAAUUAAGAUCAGAAUUGAUUUUGUUUUUUUAUUAAAACAUACACAAUUUGCCAUGAGUUCUAGAUUCUGAUAUUCUUGACAAGCACUUUUGAUCUCCAGAGAGUAAGUUCUUGACCUUACUUGGGACAUGCUUAGUUAGUAUUUGAUGUUAUUAACCCGUUAUGGGGGGAAUUUUCAUUUUGCAAGACUUGUGAAUGUUGCAUUUUAAAUCUGUUUGAAUUACUGGUAUCAUUUAGCAUCAAACUCUUAACUGCUAAUUAAAACUACCCACAAUAUUAACCUUGUAGGUUAUUGCUAACUUACCAUAUUAGCUUUCAAGAGACAAAGUCCCAGCGACAUGUAAUGACUUGCUUGUUCCAAAAUGUGCCAAGAGAGCAGUCUUCAGUACUAAACUCCAGAUUUCAACUGUUUUAAAAAAAAGUAGCAUUUCCUCUGGGUAAUGGGGAGGCAGUGAAUUACUGCCCAGGUGCAAACUCCCUACCGCCUACCUUGUCCCCUUCCCCUUCCAUCCAACAUAGAAUCGGUUAAAUUUGCAGCCAACUGUAGGAAAAGAAGUUGGUACUUUUGUGAGUAAGGCUUCAUGUCCUGUGACUAAGAAGAGGUGGCAGGAAUCACGGCCUAAUCAAUUAUUGAGUUGUGUCGCUUGGGCCAUUGCAGUUUGCUUUCUGUAGUAUUCUGAAACAAAAGGAUGAUUCCAUUCCUUCUCAGGUACUGAGAAAACAACUCCAUGUGAGCAGCCGGAAUGUGUUUGGGACAAGUAGGAUAUAUUAGAGUGGAAGAUAAAGGGGAGCACAAAAUCUUUCAUUUUCUCUUUCAAGUAGUUUAAUUGAGCAUAUUCACAAUUGGCCUUUCUAGAACUUGCUGUGUUCAUAGUAAAUAACGUAGCAUUUAUUUUAUCUGGUUAUGUGUGGUGUGUGUGUAUAUACAUAUUCAAUAUGUACACAUAUUUUCUGCAUUAUAUGUAUGAUAUAUUCAUUUAUACAUGCAGUCUACUCUUGAUUAUCUGUAAAAUGGUAAGCCCUCAUUAGAUUGUUCUCUUCUUGUUGACUUAGCAUGGAGCCCAUAACUCUGUGAAGCCUCUUAUCUGGAACCACAGUCUUUCCUAUUUGCAGUUCAUCUCCAUCCCCAAGGAAGGCCCUUGAAAUAUGUCGCUUUCUGUUUCCCUUUCACCAGGGAUUGUGAGUGAGAAAGAUAGCUGCUUCCACCGGAUUUGAGGCUUCUGGCUCUGAACGAUGAUGUAGCCCAUUCCUGGCCCGAGGGCAGCUUGGGAACAGUUGUGCUGAAGGGCUCAGUGGGGGAAAAAAACCUAGCCCUUCCAGAAAUGGGGCUUCAUAACUUGCUUAAAUUCCUUAGCUGCAGUGUUGUGAAAUCUUAGAUAAUUUGAUGGCCAAAUAGAUUACAACUAUGCAUUUCACCGUUACUUUUGCAUCAUUGGUAGUACUGUUCCCUGUUGGUAGCCCAGAUAAUCAAGACCUGACUGUUUCUUGCCACUGGAUUCUGGAAGCCUUGCCCUUUCAACUGGAUUUAUGUUUAUUUCUGCUGCUGUGAACCCCAAAAGGAAUGCAGUUUGAAGAAGGUGAGGAGAAAAUGUCCGUAUUGUGACCCAGGCUAGUUCUCCAGCAGUGUGCUCAUAAUCCCCUGUCCCUCCCAGCCUCUUGGUUGCCCUAGCAGUCAUCCCUGCCCUUCUGUCUGCAGACCUCCAACACCGAGAGAGUGCCUGACGGCAUAGCAGGUGCGUCCUCGCUCUACUUUUUGGAGUAUUGCCUACCAGUGAGGACCAGACGCUGGAUGUUUGUGGAUCAUCAAGGUAGACCUACACCUACAACCCACCCCCAAAUCCCUCUCACCUGUGACAUUUGCCUGCUGCAGUCUCUUCAGGAACUCCUGUCAC